Non-coding RNA from Oreochromis niloticus (Nile tilapia), 73 nucleotides. NCBI's taxonomy places the organism in Eukaryota, Metazoa, Chordata, Actinopteri, Cichliformes, Cichlidae. The record is from Rfam.
GGUUCUGUAGUAUAGUGGCUAUCACAUCUGCUUUACACGCUGAAGGUCCUGGGUUCAAUCCCCAGCAGUACCA